CGCAAAAGCUGAGGAAGUGUCGGCGUCGAUGAUGUUUGCGAGCCAUAUGAAGAGUCCUGCAUUUAUUUCAGUACGGUGACGAAGACGAAGACGACGCCGACGCCGUAAUGUAAAAGUCUGUGGAAGCGGAAAAAGCUUAGGAAGUGGCGGCGUUUAAUCUGUUUGCGUGCGACAUGAAGAGACUUGAAUGCAUUUGAGUACGAAGAUGAUGCCGCUGCCCUGAACAAGACGCUGCAAGCGCAAAAUCUGAGGAGUUGGCAACGUGAAAGACAUCAGCGAAGUGCGCAUAGGUAUGCCGACGUUUCUAAGCAUGCACUCGCUUUAUUUUUUUUUUCCAGAGCUUUGUAUGUAUUUGUGUACGACGACCACGCCACCGUCACAGUGAACAAGUCUCAGAAAGAGCAAAAGCUGUGGAAGGGGCGGCAUUGAAGCUGUUUACAAACUUCCCGGAAUUGCACCGUUGUGUGUGACUGCUUAGAUCAUUAAAGGUGAAACAGGCCAUUACACGAUACAAGACACAUGGUGACGACGGAGGAGCGACAUAACUGACGAGUGUAGAACAUGGUGCCUAUGCGCUGAAU
Molecule: long non-coding RNA, 581 nt
Organism: Schistocerca gregaria
Lineage: Eukaryota; Metazoa; Arthropoda; Insecta; Orthoptera; Acrididae
Exons: 3
Source: RefSeq, a predicted model, not a curated record